RNAcentral lists this ribosomal RNA (499 nucleotides) under uncultured bacterium. RNAcentral describes it as "bacterial SSU rRNA". It matches the Rfam family "Bacterial small subunit ribosomal RNA", at positions 30 to 523 of the family's 1533-position model. The record is from RNAcentral.
AUUGAACGCUGGCGGCAUGCCUUACACAUGCAAGUCGAACGGUAACAGGUCUUCGGAUGCUGACGAGUGGCGAACGGGUGAGUAAUACAUCGGAACGUGCCCGAUCGUGGGGGAUAACGCAGCGAAAGCUGUGCUAAUACCGCAUACGAUCUACGGAUGAAAGCGGGGGAUCGCAAGACCUCGCGCGGACGGAGCGGCCGAUGGCAGAUUAGGUAGUUGGUGGGAUAAAAGCUUACCAAGCCGACGAUCUGUAGCUGGUCUGAGAGGACGACCAGCCACACUGGGACUGAGACACGGCCCAGACUCCUACGGGAGGCAGCAGUGGGGAAUUUUGGACAAUGGGGGAAACCCUGAUCCAGCCAUGCCGCGUGCAGGAUGAAGGCCUUCGGUUGUAAACUGCUUUGUACGGAACGAAAGGUACCUUUCUAAUAAAGAAGGGCGUCAUGACGGUACCGUAAGAAUAAGACACCGGCUAACUACGUGCCAGCAGCCGCGGUAA